UCGUCCGAGUUGUAACCUGGAGAGGCAUUUUCCGCGUUGGACCGUGUACAAGUCUCCUGGAAUGGAGCGUCAUAGAGGGUGAGAAUCCCGUCCAUGACACGGACCGCCAUGCUUUGUGAUAUGCCUUCGAAGAGUCGCGUUGUUUGGGAAUGCAGCGCAAAAUGGGUGGUAAAUUCCAUCUAAAGCUAAAUAUUGGCGAGAGACCGAUAGCGAACAAGUACCGUGAGGGAAAGAUGAAAAGCACUUUGGAAAGAGAGUUAAACAGUACGUGAAAUUGUUGAAAGGGAAACGCUUGAAGUCAGUCGCGUUCCGUGGAACUCAGCCUUACUUCGGUUUGGUGUACUUUCCAUGUGAACGGGUCAACGUCAAUUUUGGCCGGUGGAUAAAGGCAAAGGGAAUGUAGCGUUGCUUCGGUGACGUGUUAUAGCCCCUUGUUGUAUACACCGGCUGGGAUUGAGGACCGCAGCACGCCCUUGUGGCCGGGGGUUCGCCCCACGUACCGUGCUUAGGAUGUUGGCAUAAUGGCUUUAAGCGACCCGUCUUGAAACACGGACCAAGGAGUCUAACAUGCUUGCGAGUGUUCGGGUGGAAAACCCUUGCGCGUAAUGAAAGUGAAAGUUAGGAACCUUCUCGCAAGAGGGGGUGCACUGACGCCCGGCCCUGACGUUCUCUGACGGUGCUGCGGUAGAGCAAGUAUGUUGGGACCCGAAAGAUGGUGAACUAUGCCUGAAUAGGGCGAAGCCAGAGGAAACUCUG
RNAcentral lists this ribosomal RNA (756 nucleotides) under Fulvifomes siamensis. RNAcentral's name for it is "partial 28S ribosomal RNA". It matches the Rfam family "Eukaryotic large subunit ribosomal RNA", at positions 134 to 866 of the family's 3401-position model. The record is from RNAcentral. Lineage: Eukaryota; Fungi; Basidiomycota; Agaricomycetes; Hymenochaetales; Hymenochaetaceae.